CCUACGGGGGGCGGCAGUGGGGAAUAUUGCACAAUGGGCGAAAGCCUGAUGCAGCAACGCCGCGUGAGCGAUGAAGGCCUUCGGGUCGUAAAGCUCUGUCCUCAAGGAAGAUAAUGACGGUACUUGAGGAGGAAGCCCCGGCUAACUACGUGCCAGCAGCCCCGGUC
RNAcentral lists this ribosomal RNA (167 nucleotides) under uncultured bacterium. RNAcentral describes it as "partial 16S rRNA". It matches the Rfam family "Bacterial small subunit ribosomal RNA", at positions 338 to 522 of the family's 1533-position model. The record is from RNAcentral.